GGGUUGUGAGGUUAAGCGACUAAGCGUACACGGUGGAUGCCCUGGCAGUCAGAGGCGAUGAAGGACGUGCUAAUCUGCGAUAAGCGUCGGUAAGGUGAUAUGAACCGUUAUAACCGGCGAUUUCCGAAUGGGGAAACCCAGUGUGAUUCGUCACACUAUCAUUAACUGAAUCCAUAGGUUAAUGAGGCGAACCGGGGGAACUGAAACAUCUAAGUACCCCGAGGAAAAGAAAUCAACCGAGAUUCCCCCAGUAGCGGCGAGCGAACGGGGAGGAGCCCAGAGCCUGAAUCAGUGUGUGUGUUAGUGGAAGUGUCUGGAAAGGCGCGCGAUACAGGGUGACAGCCCCGUACACAAAAAUGCACAUGCUGUGAGCUCGAUGAGUAGGGCGGGACACGUGGUAUCCUGUCUGAAUAUGGGGGGACCAUCCUCCAAGGCUAAAUACUCCUGACUGACCGAUAGUGAACCAGUACCGUGAGGGAAAGGCGAAAAGAACCCCGGCGAGGGGAGUGAAAAAGAACCUGAAACCGUGUACGUACAAGCAGUGGGAGCACGCUUAGGCGUGUGACUGCGUACCUUUUGUAUAAUGGGUCAGCGACUUAUAUUCUGUAGCAAGGUUAACCGAAUAGGGGAGCCGAAGGGAAACCGAGUCUUAACUGGGCGUUAAGUUGCAGGGUAUAGACCCGAAACCCGGUGAUCUAGCCAUGGGCAGGUUGAAGGUUGGGUAACACUAACUGGAGGACCGAACCGACUAAUGUUGAAAAAUUAGCGGAUGACUUGUGGCUGGGGGUGAAAGGCCAAUCAAACCGGGAGAUAGCUGGUUCUCCCCGAAAGCUAUUUAGGUAGCGCCUCGUGAAUUCAUCUCCGGGGGUAGAGCACUGUUUCGGCAAGGGGGUCAUCCCGACUUACCAACCCGAUGCAAACUGCGAAUACCGGAGAAUGUUAUCACGGGAGACACACGGCGGGUGCUAACGUCCGUCGUGAAGAGGGAAACAACCCAGACCGCCAGCUAAGGUCCCAAAGUCAUGGUUAAGUGGGAAACGAUGUGGGAAGGCCCAGACAGCCAGGAUGUUGGCUUAGAAGCAGCCAUCAUUUAAAGAAAGCGUAAUAGCUCACUGGUCGAGUCGGCCUGCGCGGAAGAUGUAACGGGGCUAAACCAUGCACCGAAGCUGCGGCAGCGACGCUUAUGCGUUGUUGGGUAGGGGAGCGUUCUGUAAGCCUGUGAAGGUGUGCUGUGAGGCAUGCUGGAGGUAUCAGAAGUGCGAAUGCUGACAUAAGUAACGAUAAAGCGGGUGAAAAGCCCGCUCGCCGGAAGACCAAGGGUUCCUGUCCAACGUUAAUCGGGGCAGGGUGAGUCGACCCCUAAGGCGAGGCCGAAAGGCGUAGUCGAUGGGAAACAGGUUAAUAUUCCUGUACUUGGUGUUACUGCGAAGGGGGGACGGAGAAGGCUAUGUUGGCCGGGCGACGGUUGUCCCGGUUUAAGCGUGUAGGCUGGUUUUCCAGGCAAAUCCGGAAAAUCAAGGCUGAGGCGUGAUGACGAGGCACUACGGUGCUGAAGCAACAAAUGCCCUGCUUCCAGGAAAAGCCUCUAAGCAUCAGGUAACAUCAAAUCGUACCCCAAACCGACACAGGUGGUCAGGUAGAGAAUACCAAGGCGCUUGAGAGAACUCGGGUGAAGGAACUAGGCAAAAUGGUGCCGUAACUUCGGGAGAAGGCACGCUGAUAUGUAGGUGAAGUCCCUCGCGGAUGGAGCUGAAAUCAGUCGAAGAUACCAGCUGGCUGCAACUGUUUAUUAAAAACACAGCACUGUGCAAACACGAAAGUGGACGUAUACGGUGUGACGCCUGCCCGGUGCCGGAAGGUUAAUUGAUGGGGUCAGCGCAAGCGAAGCUCUUGAUCGAAGCCCCGGUAAACGGCGGCCGUAACUAUAACGGUCCUAAGGUAGCGAAAUUCCUUGUCGGGUAAGUUCCGACCUGCACGAAUGGCGUAAUGAUGGCCAGGCUGUCUCCACCCGAGACUCAGUGAAAUUGAACUCGCUGUGAAGAUGCAGUGUACCCGCGGCAAGACGGAAAGACCCCGUGAACCUUUACUAUAGCUUGACACUGAACAUUGAGCCUUGAUGUGUAGGAUAGGUGGGAGGCUUUGAAGUGUGGACGCCAGUCUGCAUGGAGCCGACCUUGAAAUACCACCCUUUAAUGUUUGAUGUUCUAACGUUGACCCGUAAUCCGGGUUGCGGACAGUGUCUGGUGGGUAGUUUGACUGGGGCGGUCUCCUCCUAAAGAGUAACGGAGGAGCACGAAGGUUGGCUAAUCCUGGUCGGACAUCAGGAGGUUAGUGCAAUGGCAUAAGCCAGCUUGACUGCGAGCGUGACGGCGCGAGCAGGUGCGAAAGCAGGUCAUAGUGAUCCGGUGGUUCUGAAUGGAAGGGCCAUCGCUCAACGGAUAAAAGGUACUCCGGGGAUAACAGGCUGAUACCGCCCAAGAGUUCAUAUCGACGGCGGUGUUUGGCACCUCGAUGUCGGCUCAUCACAUCCUGGGGCUGAAGUAGGUCCCAAGGGUAUGGCUGUUCGCCAUUUAAAGUGGUACGCGAGCUGGGUUUAGAACGUCGUGAGACAGUUCGGUCCCUAUCUGCCGUGGGCGCUGGAGAACUGAGGGGGGCUGCUCCUAGUACGAGAGGACCGGAGUGGACGCAUCACUGGUGUUCGGGUUGUCAUGCCAAUGGCACUGCCCGGUAGCUAAAUGCGGAAGAGAUAAGUGCUGAAAGCAUCUAAGCACGAAACUUGCCCCGAGAUGAGUUCUCCCUGACCCUUUAAGGGUCCUGAAGGAACGUUGAAGACGACGACGUUGAUAGGCCGGGUGUGUAAGCGCAGCGAUGCGUUGAGCUAACCGGUACUAAUGAACCGUGAGGCUUAACCUUACAACGCCGAAGGUGUUU
RNAcentral lists this ribosomal RNA (2931 nucleotides) under Escherichia coli. RNAcentral describes it as "23S ribosomal RNA". It matches the Rfam family "Bacterial large subunit ribosomal RNA". The record is from RNAcentral. Lineage: Bacteria; Pseudomonadati; Pseudomonadota; Gammaproteobacteria; Enterobacterales; Enterobacteriaceae.